GCCGAGGUGGCGGAACAGGCAGACCCGCAAGGACGUGCGGGUUCGACUCCCGCUCUCGGCACCA
This 64-nucleotide transfer RNA is filed under the name Chloroflexota bacterium. Its description in RNAcentral is "Chloroflexi bacterium tRNA-OTHER". It matches the Rfam family "tRNA". From Rfam's summary of the family: Transfer RNA (tRNA) molecules are approximately 80 nucleotides in length. The record is from RNAcentral. Lineage: Bacteria; Bacillati; Chloroflexota.